Molecule: ribosomal RNA, 568 nt
Filed under: bacterium enrichment culture clone Pav-FEB-Bd3-C1
Lineage: Bacteria
Also listed under: 1 other name
Description: bacterial SSU rRNA
Rfam family: Bacterial small subunit ribosomal RNA
Source: RNAcentral
GGCUUGCUUCUUAGUUAGUGGCGCACGGGUGAGUAAUAUAUAGCUAACCUGCCCUUUAGUGGGGGACAACAGUUGGAAACGGCUGCUAAUACCCUAUACUCCUUCUUGCCUUAAGGUGAGUCGGGAAAGAUUUAUCGCUAAAGGAUGGGGCUUUAUUGUAUCAGCUAGUUGGUGAGGUAAUGGCUCACCAAGGCUAUGACGCAUACCUGGUCUGAGAGGAUGAUCAGGCACACUGGAACUGAGACACGGUCCAGACUCCUACGGGAGGCAGCAGUGGGGAAUAUUGCACAAUGGACGCAAGUCUGAUGCAGCAACGCCGCGUGGAGGAUGACGCAUUUCGGUGUGUAAACUCCUUUUAUAGGGGAAGAUAAUGACGGUACCCUAUGAAUAAGCACCGGCUAACUCCGUGCCAGCAGCCGCGGUAAUACGGAGGGUGCAAGCGUUACUCGGAAUCACUGGGCGUAAAGGAUGCGUAGGCUGGAAAUCAAGUCGAAAGUGAAAUCCAACGGCUCAACCGUUGAACUGCUUUCGAAACUGGUUACCUAGAAUAUGGGAGAGGUAGAUGGAA